This 248-nucleotide unclassified non-coding RNA is filed under the name uncultured fungus. Its description in RNAcentral is "sequence contains ITS2". The stretch from base 1 to 52 matches the Rfam family "5.8S ribosomal RNA", at positions 103 to 154 of the family's 154-position model. Lineage: Eukaryota; Fungi. The record is from RNAcentral.
AACGCACAUUGCGCCCGCGAGUAUUCUCGCGGGCAUGCCUGUUCGAGCGUCAUUUCAACCAUCAAGCCCCCGGCUUGUGUUGGGGACCUGCGGCUGCCCGCAGGCCCUGAAAUCCAGUGGCGGGCUCGCUGUCGCACCGAGCGUAGUAGCACAACCUCGCAACGGGAGCCCGACGCGGCCACUGCCGUAAAACGCCCAACUUUUACCGAGUUGACCUCGAAUCAGGUAGGAAUACCCGCUGAACUUAA